UACGUAGGUGGCAAGCGUUGUCCGGAUUUAUUGGGUUUAAAGGGUGCGUAGGCGGCCUUGUAAGUCAGUGGUGAAAUACUCUAGCUUAACUAGAGGGGUGCCAAUGAUACUGCAGGGCUUGAGUACAGAUGAGGUAGGCGGAAUUGACGGUGUAGCGGUGAAAUGCAUAGAUAUCGUCAAGAAACACCCUAUAGCGAAGGCAGCUUACUGGGCUGUAACUGACGCUGAGGCACGAAAGUGUGGGGAUCAAACAGG
RNAcentral lists this ribosomal RNA (255 nucleotides) under uncultured bacterium. RNAcentral's name for it is "partial 16S ribosomal RNA". It matches the Rfam family "Bacterial small subunit ribosomal RNA", at positions 524 to 776 of the family's 1533-position model. The record is from RNAcentral.